UUAAAAGAACUGCCAGCUGAAUUUACUUUUGCAGAGGAGAGCACGGACAAAAUUGCGGUCGGGUUCUUUAAGGCAAAGCACGUGACGCUCCGUGCCUCAGAAGCGGAAGGCGAUGGGGGAAAUUGUGGAAUUGCUAAUGUGACUUUAGAAGAACAGACGUUGCCUUUCGUAAGGUUGUUGUCGCCGAGAGCGCUCUCUAAACAUCAGGACUUAUUCAAAAUGAACUGGAUGGAUUAAAACUGCUUACAAUUUGGGAAAUCUUUCCGGGAAGGGUUAAACUGUACUGCUAGCGCACGUGGAGCAGAAUCCACUCCCAGUAGCGUCCUACCAUUUCAGGCUCACUGAUCGCCAGCAGCGAGAGAACCUGGGACCCUUAAGCUGUAGAUUACAGCAGCGAUGCUUACAAGCACAUGCAGGGACAAUGAGGAUGACCAAAAAAACCCUGUGAAAAACAGAGACCUUGGUACAGUGGGUAUCUAACAUCACUUGUACACAUGAAACAAAAUACUUAACAAGGUAUCCUUCUAACAUAUCCUUUACAGAGCAAUUUUCUAAACAUCGAAGUCUGGAUUCACCUAUUUUGCUAAACCAAGGUUAUACAACUUCUUCAGAUAUUAUUAUUAUUAUUAAUAUACUUCCACGCCUUAUAUUUAACAUUUUCCACGUUAUUUCAUUGAAAAAUGCAGUAUUGUGGCAAAAUUUGAAAGGGAUCUAGGGCCUGAGUUGUGUACCCCUACACUAAACCAAAAUCAAGCAAAUCCCAUUAUAGUUUAGUUUGAUAUAUGAACCCAGCACAUUUGAGUACGCUUCUACUUUCUGCACAUUAUGUGAACCUAUUUAAACAUCCUUCAGUUCCAAUAUAUUGUAAUCAAAUAAUACAUGACACUUUGGUCCUAAUUCCACUAAUGCUUACAAACAUGCUAACUUGCUUUGAGAAUAGUCUUGUUUUUGUAUGAAACUGUUCAGUUUAAAGUUUCACUUCUAAAAUCUGGUAAUUAAAAUUAUCACCACUGUUUUUUUGUUCUGCUCUGAGACUAAUCAAAUAAAGGCAGUUGAAAAAAGCUUGCAUAAAAGCAUGCCUGUUCCAGAAGCGUUACUGUUUGGGGAUGACAGAAUUAUGCAGGUGACUGGUAUUAGCAUUAUUAUGUUAGAUAUUUCAGUACAAUUUUUCAUUAGUUGUCUAAGAGCUAAGGGAGAGGGCAUGGUUAAGGUAUACAGUGGAACCUCGGGUUACGAAUUUAAUUCAUUCCGUGACUCUGGUCGUACC
Molecule: non-coding RNA, 1267 nt
Organism: Python bivittatus (Burmese python)
Lineage: Eukaryota; Metazoa; Chordata; Lepidosauria; Squamata; Pythonidae
Source: RefSeq, a predicted model, not a curated record